GCAGCACUGACCAUUUCCAUGGGCCAACCAACAGGUCCAUGUCUUUCCUGUGCUGAGGGCUCCAGAGCUGGACACAGUACUGCAGGUGGGGGUCUCACCAGAGCAGAGCGGAGGGGAAGAAUCACCUCCCUUGGCUUUAAAGUGUUAUAACUGAAAUACGUGACCUUUCUUCUUUCCCAGGCUUUGUCAAGUGGAAGCCCACCAGGCCCAGAGAACAACAAUGCCGACCAUCAGUGCCCACAAAGCAACAGCAAGAAGCCGUCGGGACAGUCCACGAUAUCCUAUGAUUACUCGGAGGAGGAGCUCAUGGCAAGCAUCGAGCGGGAGUACUGCCGCUGAACCCAGCCCCGCGCCACCAGAACUUCCAGCACGUUCCUGGAAACCCAGCUGGAGAAAAACUGCUGCUGACAAAAUAACCCCUGGCACAGCAAGAGGGCACGGGAGAGGUGGGUGGCGAGGGGAGGUGGAGCGUGAGAGGCAGCAUGGUGGCUUGGGAAGCACGGGGGAGAAAGCCCUCCUGACCAGCUCUGAGUGAGAGCAUGAAGAUCCUCACCAACUGCGGGUUUCUGAUUGGUGCUACUGGAAGAGGGACCAGUUCAUCUCCUGAAUCAAUAUUUGGAGCUCGUUUCUAAAUGGUAUUUACAAAUGAAGACAUUCUGGAAUUGAAGUAUCAUACUAGAAGCAUCGAGACGUGGUGCUUUGAAGGAAGAUCUUGUUUUGUCUUAGCAGAAGAAAAAUGCAGCAAUGUCAUUUGAUUCAGGUCUCACUUAAGGGGUUGUUGCAUGAAAUUUGUGUUCCUGCCACUUAAACCAGGCCAAAUUUACUCCUUGCGCUGUGUAGGCCUCAGGUCCAGGUCUGAAUUGGGCACUGUCUCUUUGUCCCCAGUAUGGGCUGUAAGGUGAAAAGUGGAGUGAGUCUACCACCCAGUCCAUGGGCAGUGUAACCCCAGAGGUCACAGCCCAUCACAGAGCUGAACGAGGCUCCUGGGACCCAUCAGGGAGCACAGGGUUUGUACAAUCGCUUCGGGGUGGGACCCUGGCAUCGGUGUCCUACCUGUGGCUCCUUGGCGUGGAUCCUCCAGCAAAACUCAAGGAGGCACGUCCCCGGUGCUGCCUUGCUGUGGCCAGUGAUCAUCCAUUUUGAGAGAGACUUAUGUGCUAUUUGUAGAGGAGCUGUUGGCAAUCAGUUUUCAGAGUUACACUCCUGGCCUUCCCACGUAUCUGUUGUCCUCGCUGAGUAACCCAGAAGAAAAAUCACUUGUGUUUUACCACUAGCUGACUGCAAAGUAAAACAGAAAGUCAACUCUCCAAAGAAAACCAUAUAUUUUCAGUGCUCCCAGACAGGGAAACCUGGUAGUUUAGGGUUUCUGCUUUUAUUUUACCUGCAUCUUAACGUAUUAUGAGUAGCUGCUUAUUAUCAGAAGUAGAAAAAUACCUUAUUUCUGCCUUCAGCUGUAGCAUAAAAGACAUCAGAUAAAACCUUCACAAAGCCUGUGUAAAUGCAAGAGGAAACAGCAGGACACAUCUUAAGAUGCUGUAUUUUAACUUCUUUGUAAUUCCUGGUAUCUGUGAAUCAGAAAUAAAUGCAUCUGUACUCUAUGUAGCCCUCA
This 1609-nucleotide long non-coding RNA is filed under the name Calidris pugnax (ruff). RNAcentral describes it as "lncRNA (ENSCPUG00000003602.1)". The record is from RNAcentral. Lineage: Eukaryota; Metazoa; Chordata; Aves; Charadriiformes; Scolopacidae.